Molecule: long non-coding RNA, 770 nt
Organism: Gadus chalcogrammus (walleye pollock)
Lineage: Eukaryota; Metazoa; Chordata; Actinopteri; Gadiformes; Gadidae
Exons: 3
Source: RefSeq, a predicted model, not a curated record
GGAGGACCAAGUGAUAAGAGUCCCUGAUAUCCAAAUCCAAAUUCUUCUUCUAGACAAGCAAGAGGAUCAGUCCAGAGAGAGAAGAAAGAUGAAGACUUUAGCGGUUGUUCUGGUGCUUGCAUUGGCCUUCAGCUUUGGAAAAGCUCUGAGGUGCUACCAGCAGUAUAAUAUAUUUGGAGCCGGUUUUACCACGGUGGUGACGUGUAAGGGACCCAGAGUAAUGUGCGCCGAAGUGCUGCUCACACCUCCCUACCCCAACCGCAAAAGUAGCUUCAGAAAUUGCAUGGAGUGGACCGAAUGCCAAAAGUUUGGUCUUAAGCCCAAACUUUGGACGGUCAGAUGCUGUGGGACAGACCUCUGCAACUAAGGCCCAGAGCUGGGGUCGGAGGUCACCAAGGUUACAUCUCUACCAGGGUUAUUCCCAUUUUGAAAUGGGCCAUUUCCCUUUCUGUACCAUCUGUAGUGAGGAAGUGGAUUGACAUGCAUCACAAUAAAGCUGUUAUGAAUCUGUAAAAUGUAUAUACUGUCUGUGAGACUCUUUUUUUUUUAAUUGGUGUAUAAAACCUUGUUGAAUUCCUAGUUUCUUUGCAAUGAGUGGUUAAUGAAAAGUGACAUUUACAUGUAAAGUGGGAGUAGGCCCAUUACGUGAAGGCAGGGGUCGGGAACCUUCUCAGACGGAGGGGCCUCCAAAUGUAUGAACUUGAAAUUCUUCUUAGAAGGGCUGACAUGCAAAUUUACAUAAUUAUAAUUUCAACUUUUUAGGGAAGACA